RNAcentral lists this ribosomal RNA (506 nucleotides) under uncultured bacterium. RNAcentral's name for it is "partial 16S ribosomal RNA". It matches the Rfam family "Bacterial small subunit ribosomal RNA", at positions 30 to 523 of the family's 1533-position model. The record is from RNAcentral.
AUUGAACGCUGGCGGCAGGCCUAACACAUGCAAGUCGAACGGCAGCACAGAAGAGCUUGCUCUUUGGGUGGCGAGUGGCGGACGGGUGAGUAAUGUCUGGGAAACUGCCCGAUGGAGGGGGAUAACUACUGGAAACGGUAGCUAAUACCGCAUAACGUCGCGAGACCAAAGUGGGGGACCUUCGGGCCUCACACCAUCGGAUGUGCCCAGAUGGGAUUAGCUAGUAGGUGGGGUAAUGGCUCACCUAGGCGACGAUCCCUAGCUGGUCUGAGUGGAUGACCAGCCACACUGGAACUGAGACACGGUCCAGACUCCUACGGGAUGCAGCAGUGGGGAAUAUUGCACAAUGGGCGCAAGCCUGAUGCAGCCAUGCCGCGUGUAUGAAGAAGGCCUUCGGGUUGUAAAGUACUUUCAGCGGGGAGGAAGGCGGUGAGGUUAAUAACCUUGCAGAUUGACGUUACUCGCAGAAGAAGCACCGGCUAACUCCGUGCCAGCCGCCGCAGUAA